GAAUCCAGGAUUGACCUUGAACAGGUAUAUUUCGUUCUUUGCUAUUCCUGCAUGUGAUGUUAUCUUCGAGUUGGCUAUGCUUGCUGAUGAAAUCCUGUGAUUUUAGCAGAAUAACUUUUCUGUGACUAGUUUUCCACUCCAUUAGUGUCUUGUUCACGUGCUACUGGGGUCUGGGGGUGAAGAGCUUUAACCUUGUAUGCUAAUAAGUAAUUACAGAAUAUUGUACUUGGCUUGGUUUGUCCCUAAAUAUUGUUAAGCAGCUGUGCCCAUUUAUUCAUUCUAUUUUGGUUUUAAAUUGAUUGGUUGAAUAGUAGAAAGAAUGCGAGAGGUAUAAUACCAAAAUUUGGAAUUCUCAUUUGGUAUUGAUUUGUGUUUGCUCUGCAUUCAAAUAUGAAGAAAGGGCCACCAACAAUCACCAAUUACUAAAUGGCCUUUGCAUAGAGAUUCCAUUGUGUGUACAUGGACAUUUGAUUCCAUUGUGUGUACAUGCUAUUGCCAUUAGUAAGUUCAAGCCACUAUUUACAAACAAACCGCUUGUGAAAUUGGCGAUUAGCACAUGCCUUCUCUGCUUAUUAAGUUGCUCAUAUCAAAACUUUGAAAGGAGUAUUAAGAUUCUUUUUAACCUUCUAUUUUUCUCUGACAGCCAGAACAUCGGAUUAGUGG
This 663-nucleotide unclassified non-coding RNA is filed under the name Hevea brasiliensis (rubber tree). Lineage: Eukaryota; Viridiplantae; Streptophyta; Magnoliopsida; Malpighiales; Euphorbiaceae. The record is from RNAcentral.